Molecule: long non-coding RNA, 634 nt
Filed under: Nicotiana benthamiana
Lineage: Eukaryota; Viridiplantae; Streptophyta; Magnoliopsida; Solanales; Solanaceae
Description: long non-coding RNA (NBEN_LNC040442)
Source: RNAcentral
ACAACAACAACUACCCAGUAUAGUCCCACAAAGUGGGAGUCUGGGGAGGGUAAUAUGUAGACGAGCCUUACCCCUACCCGAAAGGGCAGAGAGGCUGUUUCCAAUCGACCCCCGGCUCAGUGCACGAAAGGAAAGACAAAAACAAAGGAGCAUUAGUAACUCCAGCAGAAAUAUCGUAGAUAAUUAUCUAAACAAAAGAAACAUAAAUAAAGUAGCAUGCAAUAAUAUAAUACAGUAACUACCAUAAGGGAGACACAAGCCAAAACACAAAUCUUCUAUGAAUAGCCCUGCCAACACCAAACUCUAGGAGCCCCUAUCCUACAACCCUGAUACUAGACCUCCAAACUUUCCUAUCAAGGGUCAUAUCCUCGGAAACCCGCAUUCUAGUCAUGUCAUGCCUAAUCACCUCUCCUCAAUACUUCUUAGGCCUCCCUCUGCCUCGCCGGACGCCGACCAUUGCCAUCCGUUCACAACUCCUCACCGGGGCAUCAGGACUCCUCCUCCGCACAUGCCCGAACCACCUCAGCCUCGCUUCUCGCAUCUUCUCAUCCACCGGGGCCACCCCCACCUUCUCUCGAAUAACUUUAUUCUUAAUAUUAUCUAACUUGGUGAGCCCGCACAUCCACCUGAGCAU